This 642-nucleotide long non-coding RNA is filed under the name Theobroma cacao (cacao). RNAcentral's name for it is "long non-coding RNA (TCAC_LNC002053)". Lineage: Eukaryota; Viridiplantae; Streptophyta; Magnoliopsida; Malvales; Malvaceae. The record is from RNAcentral.
UGAUAAUUGCUUUGUCCAAUUCACUUUUCCCAACUUUGGAUAGAAAUAGUCACGUUCGAGUUACAUGCUUGCAUUUCUAUUUGCUUGUGUCAAAAUGUAUGACUGACAAUGCUUUUGAAUCUAGAAGUAUAGAUGGCAAUUCAAGUAAAAGGAGAGUUGAGGAUAAUAAAGUCUAAUGAGAAUACUAGGGGCUAAACCUAAAAGUAAUAUACCUGGCAUUUCCCAUAUAGAUAGAACUUCUCAUCAUCACAUGAUAAAGAGCACGUCCCGCAAAACAUUAUUGCCGAAAGUCAUACUCAGGAUUAACAUAACUGACAUGGAAGCAUCAAAAUUUCAACUUCUAACAGCCAAAUGAGAUUAACAAAAGUAACAAAGAGACCAUGAUUUUCAUUGCUCAAAACAUUUUAGAGGUAUCAACCUUUCUUCCUCUUAGCAGCACACAUUUAUUUAACCUGUCAAAAUUUGUGUUGUCCCUAGCUCAUCCUUCUUUUAAUUGUAAUUCUAAUAUGCCUACCUACCCUAUAAGCAUCAUUAAUGAAUUACAAGACGGACUGAAGAGAACCUGCAUUUUAAAAGGAGUAGAAUAUGCUUGCACAACAAGAAACUCCUGUUAGAUUGCUAAACUCUCACCUUUAAAAGCCC